UGGCCGAUGGUGUAACGGUAGCACAGCAGAUUUUGGUUCUGCUUGUCUUGGUUCGAAUCCAAGUCGGCCAG
This 71-nucleotide transfer RNA is filed under the name Phycisphaeraceae bacterium. RNAcentral's name for it is "tRNA-Gln". It matches the Rfam family "tRNA". Rfam says of the family: Transfer RNA (tRNA) molecules are approximately 80 nucleotides in length. Lineage: Bacteria; Pseudomonadati; Planctomycetota; Phycisphaerae; Phycisphaerales; Phycisphaeraceae. The record is from RNAcentral. RNAcentral also lists the same sequence under 1 other name.